AAGUGAUAAAUGGUGUACCAUACUUGUUUACGGUUCAAGGUGAUUUAUUACUUU
RNAcentral lists this transfer RNA (54 nucleotides) under Syphacia obvelata. RNAcentral describes it as "tRNA-Arg". Lineage: Eukaryota; Metazoa; Nematoda; Chromadorea; Rhabditida; Oxyuridae. The record is from RNAcentral.